Protopterus annectens (West African lungfish) is the source of this 74-nucleotide small nucleolar RNA. RefSeq annotates it as small nucleolar RNA SNORD53/SNORD92. NCBI's taxonomy places the organism in Eukaryota, Metazoa, Chordata, Ceratodontiformes, Protopteridae. The record is from RefSeq and is a predicted model, not a curated record. The transcript has a single exon.
UUGCGGUGAUGACUAAAAUGGUUUCGCUUUUCACCGAUCACCAUUGAAGACAACUCUCUUGGCUGUCUGAGCAU